RNAcentral lists this unclassified non-coding RNA (346 nucleotides) under fungal sp. RNAcentral's name for it is "partial internal transcribed spacer region". The stretch from base 1 to 46 matches the Rfam family "Eukaryotic small subunit ribosomal RNA", at positions 1786 to 1831 of the family's 1831-position model. The record is from RNAcentral. Lineage: Eukaryota; Fungi. RNAcentral also lists the same sequence under 1 other name.
AAGUCGUAACAAGGUUUCCGUAGGUGAACCUGCGGAAGGAUCAUUACCGAAAACAAAAACGGCCCCGCGACGCCGUCACUCUUCGAGUGGCGCUCGCGGGGACGGACCCCUGUGAACGCGUUUCCGUCUUUGGUGUCCACGCACGCCAGCGCGCAGUCCGCUGCGCUGCUGGCCGUGGCCCAAUCUUUUUCAUUUACCCCAUCUCUUCUGAAUGCUGACUGAAGUAAAGUCGAGGUCACUAGCCUCUCGCGAGGCUGCGGCUUUCGGCGUGGUCACAGCACCUCCUUCGGGCGGGCUUGACGACAAUAACUUGUGACAACUUUUAACAACGGAUAUCUUGGUUCAC